Botryobasidium botryosum FD-172 SS1 is the source of this 89-nucleotide non-coding RNA. Lineage: Eukaryota; Fungi; Basidiomycota; Agaricomycetes; Cantharellales; Botryobasidiaceae. The record is from the annotation of a GenBank genome assembly.
GUUCCCUUAGCUCAGUGGUACGAGCAUCGUACUUAUGGGUAACCUGUAUGGCUAUGCGAUGGUCCCGAGUUCAAUCCUCGGAGGGAACA